Monodelphis domestica (gray short-tailed opossum) is the source of this 381-nucleotide long non-coding RNA. RefSeq lists it as uncharacterized. Lineage: Eukaryota; Metazoa; Chordata; Mammalia; Didelphimorphia; Didelphidae. The record is from RefSeq and is a predicted model, not a curated record.
GGAAUACUGAGGCUUUGUCCAGAGGCAAGAAUUGUCUCAGUCUAGAUAAUCUAAAGGGCCACUAGGAAUACUUUUUUUUUUUUUUAAGGGAGAAGCCUGGGUCAGAAUCUGGUGCUAGAACAGAGACAUUGUAAAGUGAAGCCAUUUACAAGAUUGUGACAGUGGAGGUGAGGAUCUCCUUGACCUCAUCCCUUCCUCUGAUAAGAUGAGAGUAGAAACUCAAAACAAGUCUGGCAUUUGGAUUGGUGAUUUGGAAGAUCAGCUAAAUUAAACUGCUUUCUCCAUAACUUUGUAAAUUCUUAGAGCAAAUAUUGUGAAGACAACAUUUGUCAUCAAGAACAAUGUCAUGUCUUUGUCAUUAUAUAUCAAACAUUUCCUGAA